GAUGAAGAACGUAGCGAAAUGCGAUAAGUAAUGUGAAUUGCAGAAUUCAGUGAAUCAUCGAAUCUUUGAACGCACAUUGCGCCCGCCAGUAUUCUGGCGGGCAUGCCUGUUCGAGCGUCAUUUCAACCAUCAAGCCCCGGGCUUGUGUUGGGGACCUGCGGCUGCCGCAGGCCCUGAAAUGCAGUGGCAGGCUCGCUGUCACUCCGAGCGUAGUAAUACAUCUCGCUCUGGACGUGCUGCGGGUUCCGGCCGUUAAAAGCCUUAUUUACCCAAGGUUGACCUCGGAUCAGGUAGGAAGACCCGCUGAACUUAAGCAUAUCAAUAAGCGGAGGA
RNAcentral lists this unclassified non-coding RNA (333 nucleotides) under soil metagenome. Its description in RNAcentral is "partial contains 5.8S ribosomal RNA, internal transcribed spacer 2, and large subunit ribosomal RNA". The stretch from base 1 to 120 matches the Rfam family "5.8S ribosomal RNA", at positions 35 to 154 of the family's 154-position model. The record is from RNAcentral.